GGCUCAUUGGUCUAGUGUUAUGAUUCUUGCUCUGGGUGUAAGAGUCCACGGGUUCAAAUCCCGGAUAAGCCC
Molecule: non-coding RNA, 72 nt
Organism: Daphnia pulex (common water flea)
Lineage: Eukaryota; Metazoa; Arthropoda; Branchiopoda; Diplostraca; Daphniidae
Source: Rfam